AAUGACGGUACCGGAAGAAUAAGCCCCGGCUAACUUCGUGCCAGCAGCCGCGGUAAUACGAAGGGGGCUAGCGUUGCUCGGAAUCACUGGGCGUAAAGGGCGCGUAGGCGGCCAUUCAAGUCGGGGGUGAAAGCCUGUGGCUCAACCACAGAAUUGCCUUCGAUACUGUUUGGCUUGAGUUUGGUAGAGGUUGGUGGAACUGCGAGUGUAGAGGUGAAAUUCGUAGAUAUUCGCAAGAACACCAGUGGCGAAGGCGGCUCACUGGCUCGAUACUGACGCUGAGGUGCGAAAGCGCGGGG
RNAcentral lists this ribosomal RNA (299 nucleotides) under Oxyrrhis marina. RNAcentral describes it as "partial Bacterial small subunit ribosomal RNA". It matches the Rfam family "Bacterial small subunit ribosomal RNA", at positions 468 to 766 of the family's 1533-position model. The record is from RNAcentral. Lineage: Eukaryota; Dinophyceae; Oxyrrhinales; Oxyrrhinaceae.